AACGUAGGUGGCGAGCGUUAUCCGGAAUUACUGGGCGUAAAGCGUGUGCAGACGGGCUAGCAAGUGGUGUAUGAAAGCUCCCGGCUCAACCGGGAAGGGUUAUGCCAGACUGCUAGUCUUGAGUGCGAGAGAGGAGCGUGGAAUUCCGGGUGUAGUGGUGAAAUGCGUAGAGAUCCGGAGGAACCCCAGAGGCGAAGGCGGCGCUCUGGCUCGCAACUGACGCUCAGACACGACAGCAUGGGGAGCGAACGGG
RNAcentral lists this ribosomal RNA (253 nucleotides) under uncultured bacterium. RNAcentral describes it as "partial 16S ribosomal RNA". It matches the Rfam family "Bacterial small subunit ribosomal RNA", at positions 524 to 776 of the family's 1533-position model. The record is from RNAcentral.